This 495-nucleotide long non-coding RNA is filed under the name Olea europaea subsp. europaea. Lineage: Eukaryota; Viridiplantae; Streptophyta; Magnoliopsida; Lamiales; Oleaceae. The record is from RNAcentral.
CGGUUUUAAGUUGAAUAACAGAUUGUCUUAGAGAUCCAAUUUGUGAUGCUUGUAGGUACAACUAAAAUCAAGAGUUUCAACACUUGGAUGCUUUUGUGGUGCCCAAGAGAUUGUUCAUGUAGAGGUAUACAAAAGUGUUUUCUAGUCUCCAUUUUAUUUGGGUUGGUAUUAUCGAUUUCACUCCUAAUUUUUAUUAUUAUUGCAGGAGCAGUUGAGCACAGUUGCUUGAAGUAGCAACGAUUAUUAUAGUAACCAAACAAGCAUCAAAAGCUAGUGACACACCUUUACACAUUAUAACCUUUAAUUCCUUUUAAAGUUGUAAUAUUUGAAUCGAACUUUACUCUUUUCAUCGGGAUAAUUGAACUCAAUAACACCAAUGCAGGAUGCUCUUUAUCUUUCUCAACAAAGAUUGCAUGUGUUGGUAAUGUAUAUAUGUCAUGCAUUUUGAAUAAGAACUUGGUUUUUAUGUUGGAUAUAAGCUUAUGUCAAUGUCUC